RNAcentral lists this ribosomal RNA (492 nucleotides) under uncultured bacterium. RNAcentral describes it as "partial 16S ribosomal RNA". It matches the Rfam family "Bacterial small subunit ribosomal RNA", at positions 29 to 507 of the family's 1533-position model. The record is from RNAcentral.
AGUGAACGCUGGCGGUAGGCCUAACACAUGCAAGUCGAACGGCAGCACAGUAAGAGCUUGCUCUUACGGGUGGCGAGUGGCGGACGGGUGAGGAAUACAUCGGAAUCUACUUUUUCGGGGGGGAUAACGUAGGGAAACUUACGCUAAUACCGCAUACGACCUACGGGUUAAAGCAGGGGAUCUUCGGACCUUUCGCGAUUGAAUGAGCCGAUGUCGGAUUAGCUAGUUGGCGGGGUAAAGGCCCACCAAGGCGACGAUGCGUAGCUGAUCUGAGAGGAUGAUCAGCCACACUGGAACUGAGACACGGUCCAGACUCCUACGGGAGGCAGCAGUGGGGAAUAUUGGACAAUGGGCGCAAGCCUGAUCCAGCCAUACCGCGUGGGUGAAGAAGGCCUUCGGGUUGUAAAGCCCUUUUGUUGGGAAAGAAAAGCAGCAGGUUAAUACCCCGCUGUUCUGACGGUACCCAAAGAAUAAGCACCGGCUAACUUCGUG